UACAGAGGGUGCAAGCGUUAAUCGGAAUUACUGGGCGUAAAGCGCACGUAGGCGGUUUUUUAAGUCAGAUGUGAAAGCCCCGGGCUCAACCUGGGAAUUGCAUUUGAAACUGGGGAACUAGAGUGUGUGAGAGGGGGGUAGAAUUCCAAGUGUAGCGGUGAAAUGCGUAGAGAUUUGGAGGAAUACCAGUGGCGAAGGCGGCCCCCUGGCACAACACUGACGCUCAGGUGCGAAAGCGUGGGGAUCAAACAGG
Molecule: ribosomal RNA, 253 nt
Filed under: uncultured bacterium
Lineage: Bacteria
Description: partial 16S ribosomal RNA
Rfam family: Bacterial small subunit ribosomal RNA
Source: RNAcentral